This 497-nucleotide ribosomal RNA is filed under the name uncultured bacterium. Its description in RNAcentral is "partial 16S ribosomal RNA". It matches the Rfam family "Bacterial small subunit ribosomal RNA", at positions 28 to 507 of the family's 1533-position model. The record is from RNAcentral.
GACGAACGCUGGCGGCGUGCCUAAUACAUGCAAGUCGAGCGAACAGACGAGGAGCUUGCUCCUCUGACGUUAGCGGCGGACGGGUGAGUAACACGUGGAUAACCUACCUAUAAGACUGGGAUAACUUCGGGAAACCGGAGCUAAUACCGGAUAAUAUAUUGAACCGCAUGGUUCAAUAGUGAAAGACGGUUUUGCUGUCACUUAUAGAUGGAUCCGCGCCGCAUUAGCUAGUUGGUAGGGUAACGGCUUACCAAGGCAACGAUGCGUAGCCGACCUGAGAGGGUGAUCGGCCACACUGGAACUGAGACACGGUCCAGACUCCUACGGGAGGCAGCAGUAGGGAAUCUUCCGCAAUGGGCGAAAGCUUGACGGAGCAACGCCGCGUGAGUGAUGAAGGUCUUCGGAUCGUAAAACUCUGUUAUUAGGGAAGAACAAAUGUGUAAGUAACUAUGCACGUCUUGACGGUACCUAAUCAGAAAGCCACGGCUAACUACGUG